UGUGGUGGGUGGGCACCCCAGCAGGCAGGGUGCUGGGGGAGGAACAUGAGCCCCUGCGGGCUUUGGAAAGAGCAGUGAAGUACAGCCCCAUUGCCUCUGCCCAGGGCUAGCGGAAAGUGAAGUGUUCCCAGCCCCAUUGCCUCUGCCCAGGGCUAGCGGAAAGUGAAGUGUUCCCAGCCCCAUUGCCUCUGCCCAGGGCUAGCGGACAGUGACGUGUCCCCGCAGGCUGAACUCCGACUGGUGACAACGGGUCAGCGUCCU
Molecule: long non-coding RNA, 261 nt
Filed under: Homo sapiens (human)
Lineage: Eukaryota; Metazoa; Chordata; Mammalia; Primates; Hominidae
Description: long non-coding RNA NONHSAT231720
Source: RNAcentral